UACAGAGGGGGCAAGCGUUGUUCGGAAUUACUGGGCGUAAAGGGCGCGUAGGCGGCCUGCUAAGUCGAACGUGAAAUCCCCGGGCUCAACCCGGGAACUGCGUCCGAUACUGGUGGGCUUGAAUCCGGGAGAGGGAUGCAGAAUUCCAGGUGUAGCGGUGAAAUGCGUAGAUAUCUGGAGGAAUACCGGUGGCGAAGGCGGCAUCCUGGACCGAUAUUGACACUGAGGAGCGAAAGCCAGGGGAGCAAACGGG
Molecule: ribosomal RNA, 253 nt
Filed under: uncultured bacterium
Lineage: Bacteria
Description: partial 16S ribosomal RNA
Rfam family: Bacterial small subunit ribosomal RNA
Source: RNAcentral